Molecule: ribosomal RNA, 460 nt
Filed under: Paenibacillus sp. JJ-223
Lineage: Bacteria; Bacillati; Bacillota; Bacilli; Caryophanales; Paenibacillaceae
Description: bacterial SSU rRNA
Rfam family: Bacterial small subunit ribosomal RNA
Source: RNAcentral
AUUGGAGAGUUUGAUCCUGGCUCAGGACGAACGCUGGCGGCAUGCCUAAUACAUGCAAGUCGAGCGGAGUUGAUAGGAAGCUUGCUUCCUUGAUGCUUAGCGGCGGACGGGUGAGUAACACGUAGGCAACCUGCCCUCAAGCUUGGGACAACUACCGGAAACGGUAGCUAAUACCGAAUACUUGUUUUCUUCGCCUGAAGAGAACUGGAAAGACGGAGCAAUCUGUCACUUGAGGAUGGGCCUGCGGCGCAUUAGCUAGUUGGUGAGGUAACGGCUCACCAAGGCGACGAUGCGUAGCCGACCUGAGAGGGUGAUCGGCCACACUGGGACUGAGACACGGCCCAGACUCCUACGGGAGGCAGCAGUAGGGAAUCUUCCGCAAUGGGCGAAAGCCUGACGGAGCAAUGCCGCGUGAGUGAUGAAGGUUUUCGGAUCGUAAAGCUCUGUUGCCAGGGAAGAA